GACGAACGCUGGCGGCGUGCUUAACACAUGCAAGUCGAGCGGUAAGGCCCUUUCGGGGGUACACGAGCGGCGAACGGGUGAGUAACACGUGGGUGACCUGCCCUCAGCUCUGGGAUAAGCCUGGGAAACCGGGUCUAAUACUGGAUAUGACUCCAUGACGCAUGUUGUGGGGUGGAAAGCCUUGUGCGGCUGAGGAUGGGCCCGCGGCCUAUCAGCUUGUUGGUGGGGUGAUGGCCUACCAAGGCGACGACGGGUAGCCGGCCUGAGAGGGCGACCGGCCACACUGGGACUGAGACACGGCCCAGACUCCUACGGGAGGCAGCAGUGGGGAAUCUUGCGCAAUGGGCGAAAGCCUGACGCAGCGACGCCGCGUGAGGGAUGACGGCCUGGU
RNAcentral lists this ribosomal RNA (391 nucleotides) under uncultured bacterium. RNAcentral's name for it is "bacterial SSU rRNA". It matches the Rfam family "Bacterial small subunit ribosomal RNA", at positions 28 to 420 of the family's 1533-position model. The record is from RNAcentral.